GUGGGGAAUAUUGCACAAUGGGGGAAACCCUGAUGCAGCGACGCCGCGUGGAGGAAGAAGGUCUUCGGAUUGUAAACUCCUGUUGUUGGGGAAGAUAAUGACGGUACCCAACAAGGAAGUGACGGCUAACUACGUGCCAGCAGCCGCGGUAAAACGUAGGUCACAAGCGUUGUCCGGAAUUACUGGGUGUAAAGGGAGCGCAGGCGGGAAGACAAGUUGGAAGUGAAAUCUAUGGGCUCAACCCAUAAACUGCUUUCAAAACUGUUUUUCUUGAGUAGUGCAGAGGUAGGCGGAAUUCCCGGUGUAGCGGUGGAAUGCGUAGAUAUCGGGAGGAACACCAGUGGCGAAGGCGGCCUACUGGGCACCAACUGACGCUGAGGCUCGAAAGUGUGGGUAGCAAACAGGAUUAGAAACCCGAGUAGUCC
This 425-nucleotide ribosomal RNA is filed under the name uncultured bacterium. Its description in RNAcentral is "partial 16S ribosomal RNA". It matches the Rfam family "Bacterial small subunit ribosomal RNA", at positions 354 to 796 of the family's 1533-position model. The record is from RNAcentral.